RNAcentral lists this ribosomal RNA (281 nucleotides) under Thiomonas perometabolis. Its description in RNAcentral is "16S ribosomal RNA". It matches the Rfam family "Bacterial small subunit ribosomal RNA", at positions 233 to 505 of the family's 1533-position model. Lineage: Bacteria; Pseudomonadati; Pseudomonadota; Betaproteobacteria; Burkholderiales. The record is from RNAcentral.
AUGGCGGAUUAGCUAGUUGGUGAGGUAAAGGCUUACCAAGGCGACGAKCCGUAGCUGGUCUGAGAGGACGACCAGCCACACYGGGMCUGAGACACGGCCNAGACUCCUACGGGAGGCAGCAGUGGGGAAUCUUGGACAAUGGGGGCAACCCUGAUCCAGCUAUGCCGCGUGUGGGAUGAAGGCUUCGGGUUGUAAACCNCNUUUGGCGGGGGCGAAAUCAUCGAGUGAUAAUACCAUUCGGUGACUGACGGUACCCGCAGAAUAAGCACCGGCUAACUACG